This 5957-nucleotide unclassified non-coding RNA is filed under the name Neodiprion pinetum (white pine sawfly). RNAcentral's name for it is "trafficking protein particle complex subunit 10, transcript variant X4". The record is from RNAcentral. Lineage: Eukaryota; Metazoa; Arthropoda; Insecta; Hymenoptera; Diprionidae.
GGAGCCUGUCACGUUUACGUUUGUCGUACAACGUCUGGGUUGAAUGUAUAUGUAUAUAUAUAUAUUUAUUCAUACCUCGAGUAAAAUCCGUCUGAUAAAUAGAGGCACAUCAAUGCGUUGUUGAGGGUAGAUUUAUACGUACAUACAUGUCGAAGUUAAAUUAUCUCGCAGAAAAACGGUUGCGGUAAAUUCGAUAAUGUAUAAGCUGAUCCGUUGAGAGAGAAAGAGAACACAACACACACACGGCGUGUGAAACGAAUGACGUUCAAGAGAUAUAAGUAAAGGAAUCGGACGAUUGUUCGAUGCUGCUGCAAAGUGCUGUUAAUGUGACGUAAAAUAAAAAAAAAAAAAUAAGUAAAUAAAAUAUAAUAAACAAAAAACCAGGAAAAGAAAUUUUUGUGUAAUGAUUAAAUCCGACAAUAGUGUGAAAGCAAAGCGAUUAAUAUCAUUCGGAAAUGAAUUGCAAUGGGGGUCCGCGAAGAAUUUCUGAGGAAAUCACCGACAGCUCUAUGGACAAUAAGCCGAUAAUCACCUAUGCAGGCGACGAGGAUUUGUUUUUGACAUUGAAAAGCAAUCUGGUCCAGGCUUUGCCUCUUAAUUCGGCAGAAUGGCGAAGGUCCUACGGACGUCCCGUGAAGCAAGUGAACAUCGAAGGAUCGUUCAUUCCAUUUUCCAAAGACAUACUGCCGACUGAGAAAGAUUGGCACUUAAUUAAACAGCCAAUAUUUCACAUCUACUGGAGCGAAUGUACAGAUGUGGACGUUUACAAAGCUUCGGUAAAAGACGAUAUCGAUACGUGGCUGAAGACUCUGGCGCAGUACAAUGUACUAGACUGGAUGAUAGUUUUAGUUGAAACCUAUGACCUCAAGAAGAGCAAUAAACUACUGCCCAGAACAACGGUGCUGGAUAAAAUUCGCAGUGAUUUCGCUGCCAAGCACGGAGAUAGGUGUUUGUCGAUUAUUAACCCAAUAAAAUCAGAAUCACGAUCGGCAGAAUCUUGGCGCGGCUUGAUUAUCAGGAUAAGACACCUGGUCCUCACCGCCUAUGACAAAACGUUGCUACGUUUUGAAGAAGUUAUUAGAGAGCAGAGAGAGAGAAGGAACCAAGUAGGAUGGAACUUUUGCCAUUAUUUCCUUUUACAGGAAGAGCUAGCUUUUGUACUAGAGAUGUUGGGCCUUUACGACGAAGCUUUGGUGCAAUACGACGAAUUAGAUGCACUCUUUACUCAAUUUGUGCUAAAUUCCAAUGUCGGAGAUUCGCCAGCGUGGUUGAGCUCGUUUCAAAGUCCCUUGAAUAAUUGGGCUGGGGUUAAUUUAGAGAACGGAGUUGACCAUCACCUGCGGCUUUUAUUGGCAGACUGCAAAGCGUCGCUUUUAGAUCUUAGGAGUUAUUUAUUUAGUAGGCAAUGCGCGAUGUUGCUGCUCAUCAACAAACCGUGGGAGGUGGCUCAAAGGUGCUUAGCCUUUGUGCACAACACUCUAGGCGAGCUAAGAAUAUUAGAAAUUCAACGUCCCGAAGGUGCCGUUGAGUGCUGGGCCUUCCUGUGCGCUCUAGAAGUUUUACAAAGUUGCCAGAUGUCUAAUGUGAACAUAGACAAUGGCCAACAACUCGAUCUCUGCUCUCUACAUACAGCGAGUCUAUGGGCGUUAGCAAGAGACAAGCUCGGAGACCUGGGAAAACUUUGCGGUUUAAUGCCGGGUAGCGAACCGACCAGUGAGCAGCUUCACACAAUAGUUUACCUCAUAGCUGGAAUGGGAGAUUCGGAGCCUCAAGCCCACGGUAAACCGACGCCAACCGACAAGCUGAAGGAAGCAUUGUCGUCGAAGGAAGCUUUCAAAAAACAAUACUUGGAACACGCAGAGUUAGCUAUGGGCACUUAUAAACACGUCGGUCGUAUCAGAUCCGCGAGACUUAUCGGCAAAGAAUUGGCCCGGUUUUACAGCGAGCUUGGAGAGAAUCAAAAGGCGGUGGCAUUUCUGUCGGACGCGUUGAAAACAUACAAUGACGAAGGAUGGUACCAACUGGCGGCGCAGACGCAAUUGGAACUGGCGGAAUGCUAUAAAGGAAUGGACGACGUCGAGAGAUACACUAAAAUAUGCGCAUCUAUAGCAAGCUCUCGGUCGUUGCACGUUACCGUGAAAAAUAUGUAUUUCGAGGAAAUGUUGGCCUAUGCAAAAAUGCUAACAGCUCCUCAGCCUCUCAUAACUGAUCUUGGCGACAGUUUUCAAAUACUUAGCAUGGAGGUCAACGUCACGGACAAAGUUAUACAGGACUGCGUGGUUAGCAUCGAAGUUUGCCUGCAGAGCUUUUUGCCAAGAGAAGUCAAAUGCAACGGAGUUUCAAUUUCCACCGAGGAGUAUAAGAAACCCACAGUUCCGGUCAAUAAAAGAAAAGGACAAAAGGCCUUGCCAGAAACGCGAGUUGAAUUAUUAUCAAGAUGUACGAUCGAUGAUAUGAAGCCUUCGGAUCCGUGUUUAGCUCGUUUGCCAACUUAUUCGUCGUUAGAAUACAAGCAAGAUAAAAGUUUGUCCACGGCCAGUGUUGUCAACAAAAAUCUAAAGCCGUUGAUAAAACGAUCGGAUAGCGCUAAGCACAGAAAACCAUCCGUCAAUUCAAAGGGAGAUUUCAGUAAGGGUUUAUCUUGCGAGGCGUUUUCUUUAAAGCCUGGUGAGAACACGUUCACCGUUAGCAGAAGAGUGGAUCAACCGGGAGUUUACAAAAUUGGCCAACUUUCGUUGAUCGUCGAGAACAAAUUGGAAUUUUUAUCUCCCAUUUUGAAUCCUCGUUUGUCGUACGAAGUCGCAAAGACUCAGCCUACAAUAUUCUCACAAUGCACCAGAGAUUUACUAGCUGGACUUCCUCAGGAAAUCGAAUUAGUCGUUUCAAGUGGUAGCGUCAAGAUUACCGAAGAUGCGAAAAUAAAACUAAGGUCCUCUAGAGGUUUAGCACUUCAGGGGGUAGAAAAUGGUCAAGUUAUGGUCAGGGAGCUGGAAAUGUCUUUACCGCCUUGCGAACCGUUUCAAAAUACAACGCUCGUACUGAAAGUGUUGGCCGAACUUCCGCCAAAAAAAGACUCUUCGACUAUCGAACACAAGUUGAGCUUGCAGUGUCCUUGGGGAACUGAAGAAAUCGUACCUCUGAAUUUCGCGCCCCCCCUAAUGUCUAGUUUUAAAUUGCACACCGCCAAACAAAGGAAGUUUCUCCAAAUCGUUGUUACCGGCCUAACUGCUCAACGCCUGGAAUUAACGGAGCCUAAAUUAGUGAGCAACACCUCGGCGGAUAUUAGUUUUAAAAGUUUGAAUCCGGUCGCGGGUCAAAAACUGGUUAUCGGAAACGGUAUGAAUGUUUCAUUUAUGUGGGAGCUUGAAAUUGGUAAAGACGAAAAGUCGACAGCUCCGAUAAAGACUGACUUUAGCGUGAGAUACGUCCAGGUAAACCUGGCCGAAGAAUCGGAGGAGAAAAAUGCCGACGACGAUCCUUUGCACAUACGUAAACUUGCAGAAAUGGACAACAAGGGAGAGAUUUAUAGGUGCAAUUUCGACGUCGUCGAUUACGUGACGCUCUUCAUAGUUUCAUCAAAAGUAGAGGCCAGCGGAGGCGGAGGAGAAUUUUGUCGAGCCGGUAGCAUGUGUCACCUAUGUCUGACCGUUACGCGCGUUGUAAAUACUCCAUCACCGACUCAGACUCCCCAAUUGAUGUACGAAGUAUUGGCCGAUCAGACAAUGUGGGCUGUUUGCGGACGAACUGCUGGCGUAGUUUCGUUGGAGACUCUUGAAAAGCAGAGCGUCACUCUAGACGUUAUGCCCCUGACUAGCGGCUAUCUUCCAUUACCUGUUGUUAGAUUAUCCAGAUACAUACCAGCAGCUGAACUUAAGAGCGACAUUUCUCGCAAGCCUGAGAUGACAGGAGGUCCACGCCUAGAACCAUUCAGUCCUGGACAAGUGUACAACGCUAGCAAAGCUCAACAAGUCCAUGUUCUACCAGCUGCGCCAUUAGAAACUAAUUAAUCAAUCUAUUCAAGAACAUUGAAACCCGUCCCAACAACCGUUAAUUGUUACAGCAAGAAUAAACGGCGGAGCGAAGGGGGAUUGAAUUAGAAACUUCGAUCUUUACCUCUAAAAAAUUAUACUGCAAUUCUUGCUCAGCUUUUAUAGCCAUGCCAUGUAUUGAGGCUCGAUUCUUUUUUUUUUUUUUUUUUUUAUACUUGGUUAUAAUUAUCAUUGCAGACGAAUAUGUAGUAUCAAAAAAACUUUGAUACAAGGAACAUUCACAUAUACUAUAACGAAACAUCACUCCUAUAAAUUGGUGCAAUAUUUUUCUUUUUUCUCUUUUCGUAUUCUUCCAUUAUCUAUCCACAUCAGAAUCUGCUGUGUAUACAUGGACGAGACAUACUUUUCAUAGUUAUGAUCAAUUUAGAUAGCUCUCAGUCACGUUCGCGCAUCUGUACCAACAAUAAGUACUUAAUUUACUAAUUAAAAAAUCUAGAAAUCAUAUGCUGGACUGUAGCUAAGCUGAACGUACUUACAUUGCACAGGUAUUUUGAAGUUGAAAAUUCGAUAUCACAAUAUUUUCGCAGUGAACGAUCGAUUGAAAAUGAUAGAUUAUUAUAAUGGCAAAUGAAAAUUAUUAUUUCAUGUGAAAAGAAUUCGUACGAUGCCAAAUAAUUCAACUUUUCAAACUGAUGAUAAACAUUUUCACGUCAUUGGUAAUAUUCUUUACAUCACAUACGCAGCAGAUAUAAAAGUGUUUUCUUAAACAAACGAUUUUGAAGUAUCUAAUCAAAAUUUCGUUUAUUCUAUGGGAGAUUGUGUGAUGCUUUCAUCGAUAUCUACAAAGAAUUGUCGAAGAUGAGAAAACAGUUUGAGUAUUAUUCUGGACUAAUAAAGAAUCGGUGGAUAAAUUUACUGAACGAUAUUAAUGGCAAGAUAAUCGACAUGAUGAAUAAACAAUAGAUACGAUUUAAUAAUCACGAGUAAUGGUGCACGAUUAAUUGUGUGAACGUUGAGCAGUCGUGAGAUGAAUAUUUUUUAAAUGUUGCCAUGUAGCUUACUAUAAAAGUUAUUUUUUAGGUACAAAUAUAGGACUCCUAUAUUGUAUAUAUAAUGGUAAUAUAUAUAUAUAUAUAUAUAAAAAUCAAUACUCGACAUCUGAUAUUUCUACUUUUACAUUUAAAAGUCAUCUUGUUGUAUUAUUAUUUUUUAUACAAAUCGUAAAGGGUUCUAAGAAGGUUCUUUACAGUAAAUCUCCGUUGCUACUUUUUGUUACAUUUCGUAAUGCCAGUUCUAUAUUCCCGUUUUAUUUAUUUGUAUCAUUAUUUUUUUUUUUUUCUUUCUCUUAUAAGCAGUUGAAAUAACAAAACUGGAUAAUAAUCUUAGGAUGAUUAGGAAGUUAUAGCUCGUGAUAAAUAAAACAGCGGAAUAAGAAAGUAUUCUAAAUAAGGGCGAAACUGUGAGCAAGAUAUUUUACUGCAUAUUUUUUCUUGAUGCUCAAGUUUUUGGUGUAAAUUUAUGAACUUCAGACUUCAGGAUUAUACGAGCAAAGACUUAUUAGAAAUAAUGUCAGCUCUCUUUUAAACAGAUUCGAGUAUUGGAAUGGUUAAAAGUCAGUGUAACUAAAAGAGGUCGAAAUUAAUGGACAAAAAUUAGAUAAUAAUAUUCAAAAGUUGCCGUGAGAUGAGCUGACAAUAAUAGUUUUGCACCAGCUUACGGCUUGAGCCAAAAUUCUUUUCCACUCAUAUAAUGCCGCCAACUGUUAAGAAUAAUAUCUUGAAUAAUAGUGAGUGUCGAUAAUUUCCGUUUCGUCAUAAAUAAAAUUGCAAGCUGUGACAAAAUGUAUUCCAAACCAAGGUGUGUAACUUCACUGUUCUGUAAAAGUCAAUAUUUUACCCCGUGCUGUGGAUUCGUAAUUUUAUUUAACCAUAUCAUACAUUUAAAUAUCUUCCUUAGCCAACGAUGCUU